AGGUAGAGAAGGAGAUGUCGAGUGGGACUAGUCUCUUGGCUGUCUGACUGUGCUGUUGAAACGGGCGCCUGUCGGAGAUAAAGGAGAGAAUGCAUCAGGAGCAAGUUUUUAAGAAGCAGCCUUGAGAAAGAAAUUUGAUCAUGACAGACAAAGCAAAGUUCAAUCGCAGAAACAUUGAGGAGGACCAGCUAGGAGGAGCGAUACAUCAUUCCCUAGAGUCUCAGAAAAACGCAUUUCUGGUUCGGCCAGCAUUUAUUGCCCAGAGGGCAGUUAAGAGUCAACCACAGACCAG
This is a long non-coding RNA of Rhincodon typus (whale shark), 292 nucleotides long. RefSeq lists it as uncharacterized. The record is from RefSeq and is a predicted model, not a curated record. NCBI's taxonomy places the organism in Eukaryota, Metazoa, Chordata, Chondrichthyes, Orectolobiformes, Rhincodontidae. The transcript has 3 exons.